GACGAACGCUGGCGGCGUGCCUAAUACAUGCAAGUAGAACGCACAGUUUAUACCGUAGCUUGCUACACCAUAGACUGUGAGUUGCGAACGGGUGAGUAACGCGUAGGUAACCUGCCUGGUAGCGGGGGAUCACUAUUGGAAACGAUAGCUAAUACCGCAUAAUAUUGAUUAUUGCAUGAUAAUUGAUUGAAAGAUGCUAUUGCAUCACUACCAGAUGGACCUGCGUUGUAUUAGCUAGUAGGUGAGGUAACGGCUCACCUAGGCGACGAUACAUAGCCGACCUGAGAGGGUGAUCGGCCACACUGGGACGGAGACACGGCCCAGACUCCUACGGGAGGCAGCAGUAGGGAAUCUUCGGCAAUGGACGAAAGUCUGACCGAGCAACGCCGCGUGAGUGAAGAAGGUUUUCGGAUCGUAAAGCUCUGUUGUAAGAGAAGAACGGGUGUGAGAGUGGAAAGUUCACACUGUGACGGUAUCUGACCAGAAAGGGACGGCUAACUACGUG
RNAcentral lists this ribosomal RNA (505 nucleotides) under uncultured bacterium. RNAcentral describes it as "partial 16S ribosomal RNA". It matches the Rfam family "Bacterial small subunit ribosomal RNA", at positions 28 to 507 of the family's 1533-position model. The record is from RNAcentral.